Molecule: ribosomal RNA, 467 nt
Filed under: uncultured bacterium
Lineage: Bacteria
Description: partial 16S ribosomal RNA
Rfam family: Bacterial small subunit ribosomal RNA
Source: RNAcentral
GACGAACGCUGGCGGCGUGCUUAACACAUGCAAGUCGAACGGAAAGGCCCUGCUUUUGUGGGGUGCUCGAGUGGCGAACGGGUGAGUAACACGUGAGUAACCUGCCCUUGACUUUGGGAUAACUUCAGGAAACUGGGGCUAAUACCGGAUAGGAGCUCCUGCUGCAUGGUGGGGGUUGGAAAGUUUCGGCGGUUGGGGAUGGACUCGCGGCUUAUCAGCUUGUUGGUGGGGUAGUGGCUUACCAAGGCUUUGACGGGUAGCCGGCCUGAGAGGGUGACCGGCAAAAUUGGGACUGAGAUGCGGCCCAGACUCCUACGGGAGGCAGAAGUGGGGAAUAUUGCACAAUGGGCGGAGGCCUGAUGCAGCAACGCCGCGUGGGGGAGGACGGCCUUCGGGUUGUAAACCGCUUUCGCCUGUGACGAAGCGUGAGUGACGGUAAUGGGUAAAGAAGCACCGGCUAACUACGU